UGGGGAAUCUUGCACAAUGGGGGAAACCCUGAUGCAGCGACGCCGCGUGAGCGAUGAAGGUUUUCGAAUCGUAAAGCUCUGUCCUAUGGGAAGAUAAUGACGGUACCAUAGGAGCAAGCCCCGGCUAACUACGUGCCAGUAGCCGCGGUAAUACGCAGGGGGCGAGCGUUGGCCGGAAUUACUGGGCGUAAAGGGUUCGCAGGCGGCAUGACAAGUCCGAAGUAAAAGGCGAAAGCUAAACUUUCGUAAGCAUCGGAAACUGUCAAGCUUGAGUGAAGGAGAGGCAAGUGGAAUUCCUAGGGUAGCGGUGAAAUGCGUAGAUAUUAGGAAGAAUACCGGUGGCGAAGGCAACUUGCUGGACUUAAACUGACGCUGAGGAACGAAAGGGUGGGGAGCAAACGGG
Molecule: ribosomal RNA, 403 nt
Filed under: bacterium
Lineage: Bacteria
Description: partial 16S ribosomal RNA
Rfam family: Bacterial small subunit ribosomal RNA
Source: RNAcentral